Molecule: unclassified non-coding RNA, 226 nt
Filed under: Mycobacterium gordonae
Lineage: Bacteria; Bacillati; Actinomycetota; Actinomycetes; Mycobacteriales; Mycobacteriaceae
Description: 16S-23S ribosomal RNA intergenic spacer
Source: RNAcentral
AAGGAGCACCACGAAGAGCACUCCAAUUGGUGGGGUGCGAGCCGUGAGGGGUCAUCGUCUGUAGUGGACGAAGACCGGGUGCACGACAACAAGCUAAGCCAGACACACUAUUGGGUCCUGAGGCAACACCCUCGGGUGCUGUCCCCCCAUCUUGGUGGUGGGGUGUGGUGUUUGAGAAUUGGAUAGUGGUUGCGAGCAUCAAAAUGUAUGCGUUGUCGUUCUCGGC